GAUGCACGCUGGCGGCGUGCCUAAUACAUGCAAGUCGAGCGAACAGACGAGGAGCUUGCUCCUCUGACGUUAGCGGCGGACGGGUGAGUAACACGUGGAUAACCUACCUAUAAGACUGGGAUAACUUCGGGAAACCGGAGCUAAUACCGGAUAACAUGUUGAACCGCAUGGUUCAACAGUGAAAGACGGUCUUGCUGUCACUUAUAGAUGGAUCCGCGCCGCAUUAGCUAGUUGGUAAGGUAACGGCUUACCAAGGCAACGAUGCGUAGCCGACCUGAGAGGGUGAUCGGCCAAACUGGAACUGAGACACGGUCCAGACUCCUACGGGAGGCAGCAGUAGGGAAUCUUCCGCAAUGGGCGAAAGCCUGACGGAGCAACGCCGCGUGAGUGAAGAAGGUCUUCGGAUCGUAAAACUCUGUUAUUAGGGAAGAACAAAUGUGUAAGUAACUAUGCACGUCUUGACGGUACCUAAUCAGAAAGCCACGGCUAACUACGUG
RNAcentral lists this ribosomal RNA (497 nucleotides) under uncultured bacterium. Its description in RNAcentral is "partial 16S ribosomal RNA". It matches the Rfam family "Bacterial small subunit ribosomal RNA", at positions 28 to 507 of the family's 1533-position model. The record is from RNAcentral.